This 11466-nucleotide long non-coding RNA is filed under the name Lynx pardinus (Iberian lynx). The stretch from base 5264 to 5336 matches the Rfam family "tRNA". The record is from RNAcentral. Lineage: Eukaryota; Metazoa; Chordata; Mammalia; Carnivora; Felidae.
GGCGUGGGCGCGGGAGGCGGCCGGACUUCGCUGCUGUGCUCCAAGGCAGGCUCCUCCGGAACCAUAUCUUUGAAGACUCCGCGCCCGCCAGCUUGGGUGUCCGGCGGGACCCGAGCAAAGUUUGUUCCAGCACCUUGCCUCACCCUGAAUGCGCUGCUUGGAAAACUGUUGGAGGGUGUGUUUGUAUUUUCCUUUUUUCCCUUGCCCGUGAACUACCUUUCCAUUUUCAUUUCUCUUUUACAUUUUUUUUUAACCCUCUUCCUUGUCAACUUUGUUUUCAGACUUAUUAAUUCAAUGAAUAUUUAUAUUACCCCUUACCAGGUGUCCGUGGUAGCGUGGUUUGGUGGAAAUGAACUAUGCUUUGGAGUCAAGACAGAUCUGCCAUCGGAUUCUGGUUCUGAUAGUCUCUCUGUAACCUUGGACCAGUUAUUUAACCUUGCUGAGGCUCCGUUUCUUUGUCAUAUGUUUGCUUUUGCUUAUUUUAAUUUACUCUUUUAUAUUUGAAAUUGUUCUGGGCUUUUUGGUUUGUGUGUGUAUCAUAUAGGAGUCUGUCCCUAGGCGAAAGCUGUUCUUAAUCCUGUACACCCCGUUACUAGCUCUGUGACCUGGGGCAACGCAUGACAGCUUUCCUAGGCCUUGAUUUCCCCGUCUUUAAAAUCAGCCAGAUUACAGAUGGUAAUAUGGCUAAUAAUGAUCAUAACAGUUGGAAUUUGGAGCAUUUAGUGCUAAAAUGUGUAUAAAAUAUCUAGCACAGGACACAGUAUAGAUAGUGUUACCAUAUUUAAUUAAAUCUACUUUCAAACAUAUUAAAAAGCUUGUUUUAAAGUCAAGAAAUAAGUAUUGAGUCACUCAGAUCUACCCAAGCACUCUAUUUGGUAGUAACUAGUGAUAAACUAGCUGUCAGCCAAAUAAGGUUUAAACAAACGGGAUUUAAACGGGGACUUUGUCACCAGAAAUAUUUCCAUUGCACUCGUGGAGCUUUUGCCUAAAUUAAGUCCAGCACAGCUGUUGAAGAAAGAGGUCCAUCCAGGCUAUCAUUGGGGUUUGGUAAGUGGAGAGAACCCGGCUUCUGACAAGUCGAGCUAACACUUACUGAACGUGUGCCUUUCUAAGCACUUUACAGUAUUGGCGUGUGUGAUCCUGGGUACCAACACUAAGGAGCUUCUGGGUCUUGGGCUAUAAAAGUGAGGACAACCACACCCUACAGUUUUGUGAUGAGUAAUUGAUGUCUGUAAAUAUAUUAAGGUACAGACAUUAAGGCAUUGUCAAUAGUAUACAUGGCUGGAGCAGGUAAGAGAAGCAACAAAAAUAACUGGACUCCAGGAAGGAAUAAGAGUAAGUAUAGAGGCUUAGUUUGUUUCAGUUUGGGGAGUUGUUAGCUUAUUCUGUUAAGGAGAGCAAACAGAAAAAGUGUCUAAACCUCAAGAGAAUCUCAGAUCUUUGACAGUUAUUUCACUGUUUGCAAUCAGUCAAAAGUAAGAAAAUGAAAAUGACUAAACAUUUUUCUUCUUUGUAUAAGCAUGAGAAGGAAUAUUUUAGUUAUCUGGUGUUUUCAUGGCUGAAGGAAACAUUUCCUCAAUUCGGUUAGAGGUCAGGCCCUUUGCUUUAAAACAACCUUCUGCUUGCUGUUCUGUGGUAUGGGAGAUGUCAUUUCCAGAAAGAUUAAGUGCUUAUACCAAAUUGUCCAUCAGAUGAUUUCUGGUCUUCAGAAAUGGUUCCUCCAGUCCUUUCCUUUCCCUGUACCUCUGAGUUCUUCCAUUGUCCUUACCUCGCUAACCCAUCUUUCAUAUUGUGGCCCAACUAUGUUCUGUAAAACAAGCUAAUGAGUGUAAACACUGGCCAAAUCUGAAUAAGGUCUGUAGCCUAGUUAAUUGCAUUGUGCUAAUGUCAGCUUCCUGGCUUUGAUAGUUUUCUAUAGUUUUGUAAAAUGCUACUACCAUCGGAGGGAGCUGGGUGAGUGUACAUGGGCCCCCUCUGCAACUUCCUGUGAGUGCAUUAUUAUUUCAGAGUAAAAAAUUAUGGAGACAAAAAUCAUCAAUAAUUGCGUGCCUCAGAGGGAGGGUGGGACAGUGGGCGUUGACUACAGAGAGAACUUUUUAAGAUAAUGAAGAUGUUCUAAGUCUUGAUUGUCUUAGUGUUUACUGUACACCCAAAAAGGGCAAAGUUUAUUUAUAUAAAUGAUACCUGAAAACUGACUUGAAAAACAGAAAAGCAAGCUCUUGUCAUCCCAGCCUCCUAUGGUCCAAAGGGUGAAACCUAACUUCUCAUAUAAGGUCCAACAAAUUUUUCCUUUGUCUCCCAGUGUACCCUGUGCUGUCUUGUACUAUAUUGAUUCCUGCUGCUGGGCCUUUGCACAUGUUCUUCCCUUUGCUUAAAGAGAACACAGGAAAUUCAGGCCCAAAUUCAAAUUCCCUGUACUCUGUUAAGCCUUCCUUGCCUCUAUUAGGCAUACUAGCGCCUUCCUCUGUUCUCAUUAAUGCUGUGCUGUAAUUUUUAUUUUAUUUUACUUUUUUUUUAUUUUAGAGAGAAUCUUCAGUGGGUUCCAUGUGGAGCCUGAUGUAGGGCUCAAUCCCAUGACCCUGGGAUCAUGACCUGAGAUGAAAUCAAGAGUCGGAUGCUCAACUGACUGAGCCACCCAGGCGCCCCUGUGCUGUAAUUUUUAAUUAGUUUUCAUCUCAGCUAAACUCCAGGGUAGGCAAUCACAUGAUUCAUUUCUAUCUCCGGGAUCCAGUAGUGUUGAAUGAGUGAGUGAAUGAAUGAAUGAGUGAAUGAUUUAAAACGGGAAGAAUGCUUAUUAAAGUAACUUCUGAAGGUGUAGUCCAGUGUCCUCAAGAUUUUUCUCAGGGGGCAGUGACACUACUUGGAUUUUCUUAUAUACUUCGAACAGCCCAUCUCAAUAGUUUGAAUGUAGAGGCAGAUGAGGGAAUCCAGCUGUCUUCAAUUAAGCCAAAUGUUAAAGGUAUUUGCAAAGCUGUAAAACAUUGUCACACCUCCAAAUGUUUUUCUUUUGGAAAAUUGUUAUUUUUCUUAAAAAUAUUUGUUGCUGGGGUGCCUGGGUGGCUUAGUCGGUUAAACCUCUGACUUCAGCUCGGGUUAUGAUCUUACGGUUGAUGAGUUUGAGCCCCAAGUGGGGCGCUGCAUUGACAUUGUGGAGCCUGCUUGGGAUUCUCUGCCCCUCCCCCGCUCACACUCAAAAAUAAACAAACAUUAAAAAAAAGCUUACAAAAAAUUUGUUAAAAUUUGGGUUUAAGUGUGUAAAGGGGUUGUUAGACCAAAACGUUUAAGAAUCCCUGCUUUUAGCGGCACCUAGGUGACUCAGUGGGUUGAGCAUCUAGCCUCGGCUCAGAUCAUGAUCUCACUGCUGGUGAGUUCGGGCCCCACAUCCAGGUCACUGUCAGCGUGGAGCCUGCUUAGGAUCCUUUGUCCCCCCUCUCUCUGCCCCUUACCUACUUGUGUGUGAUCUCUCAAAAAUAAACAUUAGAAAAAGAAAAAAGAAUCUCUGCCUUUAGAGACUCUUACAACCCCCUCAUUGUUCAAAUGAGAAAUGAUAAUGAUGCCAACAUUUAAGUAGUGCUCUGGCCUUGUGAUGCCUUGGUUUUUUUCCAAUCUAACCAUGUGCACCUAUACUUCAGCCACCCACUCCCCUCAUGACCAUACCUGGAACUUGGUUAUACAACUUCCUGUUACGACUUCCUAUUUGUCCAGUUUUCUUAAUCUAGCACUAAAUGUAUUCUUUAACUUACUUAGGACCCCACUACCUUGAACUUUCCACUUGGCCUUUCGUUUUCCUUUUAACCCCAUUCUCUUCCUGACCCAGUGGAUGCUGCCAUGGUCCUCUCGCUAUUCUCACUCAUAACCUUUGACUCUUUAGACCCCCUCAUUUUCAAGCUGCACCAGCUCUGCAAACUCCCAGCCCUGAAUCCGUUGCGUGAUUCUAUUUCUGCUUGGAGUGCAGAUCACAGCAGAUCACAAAAUGAUGGAAAUGUACAGAUUGGGUGGAGGGGAGAGCUGUUACAGAAUCUAGUGGGUCCAAUUGCAGUUGGGACUCAGUAUUGUUCAGCGGUUUGUGUCUUUGAUCAGCACCCUGUAUUUUCAGAUUGCUAGAAAAUUUCACUUGGCUUCAACUACUUACACAUCCACAUCCCCAACAGAUAACCUCACCUUCUAAUCACAGGAAGUAAAGUUCAAAAAGCAAGAGUUUCCCCUCCCACUAUGAGCCUCCAAGGGAAUCUGUACAUAUGUAUCCUGCUGCCUCACAUCCUUGCCACCGUCCCAGAAGAACAGAGAUGUCCCUCUUUUGGUUCAUCCCCACCUCUGCUUAGGAUCCCACUUCAUCUCAUCUUGGAUCAUGCUCCCUUAGCCUCCCCCUCAACAUCUGUACUUCCAACUGCUCAGCGUCACUGGUUCAUUUCUCUUGUCCAAGAACACUCCAACCCUAGGGGUGCCUGGGUGGCUCAGUUGGUUAAGCGUCCAACUUUGGCUCAGGUCAUGAUCUCACAGUUCGUGAGUUUGAGCCCCACAUCGGGCUCUGUGUUGACAGUUCAGAGCCUGGAGCCUGCUGAGGAUUCUGUCUCUCUCUCUCUCUCUCUCUCUCUCUCUCUCUCUCUGCCCCUUCCCCCACUCAUACUUUGUCUCUUUCUCUCUCAAAUAUUAAUAAAAUAAAAAAAACCCACUCCAACACUAUACUCCCUCCAGUACUGCCCUGUUUCUUUCUCUUCAGAGUCAAGCUUCUUGGAAGAAUUCUCACUUCUCUUCCUCAGCUUUAUAACCUGAUUAAUCUUAUUGUUUGGUUUUUAAUGCUGUGAGCCACUCCUAUUCCCUACCAUGUCUGUGCUCUUCCUAUAUCCCCUAGAGUUGAGCAGAGUCGCAACCUACUCAGACACCUAAGAUGAAGUCAACAGUCAUCCUAGACUUCCCUCCCAUUUACCUCUCAUGGCCUGUUGGUCACCAGAAAAUUUUAUCCAUGAAACAUUGGUCAAGUUCACCCCUUUCUCCAUUCCCGAGGCAGCCAAACCAUUUCAGGCCACUAUCAUCCAUCCUUGAGACUCAGAGUGAUCUUGACUCCUUACUACCAAUCAUGCUGUCUUCCAUUGUACCAUUUCCAGUUAGCUGGUUUUGUUUUUCCUUUUUGACUAUCAGUACAGAGCCUGAUGGGGGGCUUGAGCCCACGAACGGUGACCUGGGCCAAAAUCAAGAGUCAGUUGCUUCACCAACAGAGCCACCCAGGCAUGCCUCUUUUUUGACUAAAUUUUUUAAACUGGCAUUCUGGCUGGCUUUGUUGGUACAGCAUGUGACUCCCGAUCUCAGAGUUGUGAGUUCAAGCCCCACGUUGGGAGUGGAACCUACUCAAAACAAAAACAAACUGUAAAAGUAAUACAUGUUCAUCAGAAAAAUUUUGGAAAAUACAGAAAAGCAUAAAAAAGUUGCUUAUAAUCUUAGCACCCAGAGACAAACAUUGUUAUAUCUUGAUCUGUUUCCUUCCUAGAGCUGUUGUUCAGAAUCACAGACUGGAUCCUAUUCCACUGCUUAAAGCCCUUCAAUGUCUUACUUUUUUUUUUUUUAAUAAUGUUUAUUUAUGUAUUUUGAGAGAAAGAGAGAAUCCCAAGCAGGCUCCACGCUCAGUGCAGAGCCCAUUGUGGGGCUUGAUCCCAUGACUGGGUUCAUGACCUGAGCCAAAAUCAAGAGUCAGACACCCAGCCAACUGAGCCACCUAGGCAUCCCAAUGGCUCACUUUCAAUGUUCCAGAUCUCUUACAGAUCAGAUGAUAACUGAAAUGCCUACCAAGGUCCAAAGUCUAUAUAGGGUCUAUCUCUAUUUAUCCAACUUGUCUACUACUCUCUGCCCUGUGGUCAGUGUUACGCACCAUGUGGUCGGUGUUAAGUAGGUUGCCCUGGCUUUAGUCUGGUCUCUCUGCUUUCAGGGCCUUUGCAUUUGCUUCUCUGGCAUGUCUGUACCGGAGUCUUCAUAUGACAGGCUUAACUUAAGAUCGUUUUGGAAAAGCCUUUCCUGAGCAUUCUAAGACCCUCCCACACACACUGAUUGUUUUUUAAUGUUUAUUUAUUAUUGAGAAACAGGCAGAGCAUGAGCGUGGGAGGGGCAGAGAGAAGGGGAGACACAGAAUCCAAAGCAGGCUUCAGGCUCUGAGCUGUCAGCACAGCACCCGAUGCGGGGCUCAAACUCACAAACCGCGAGAUCAUGACCUGAGCCAAAGUCAAGACGCUUAACCAACUGAGCCACCCAGGCGCCCCCUGAUAUUUUUUUAAGUCCUGUUUCUUACUCUUUACCCAUAUGAAUUGUUAAGCCAUUGCAAAACAGGAUUUCAAGAGGUAUGCGUAGGCUUUGCCCAUUCUUUGACACUGCAGUCCCACUUCAAGACAUUUAGCCUAUCUGAAUCAUGAUACAUGUAAAGAUUUUAGAUACAAGGAUGUUUAUCAUAAUGUUCUUUUUUAAAAAAAAAGUUUUUGUGUGUUUUAAUGUUUAUUUAUUUUUGAGAGAGAGAGAGAGAGUCAAGCAGGGGAGGGGCAAAGAGAGGGAGACAGAAUCCGAAGCAGGCUUCAGGCUCCAGGCUCCGAGCUGUCAGCAGAGAGCCUGACGCGGGUCUGGAACUCCCGAACCUUGAGAUCAUGACCCGAGCUGAAGUCGGAGGCUUAAGCGACUGAGUCACCCAGGUGCCCCCGUUACGUUGUUUUUUAAUAUUUAAAACUGAAGACAAAGUUAUUAUGCUUUAUAUAAAACCAAAGCAGCUAGAAAUACAUCUGUGGUACAUUUUCAGUGAAAAAAGCAGGUUUCAAAAUAUAUUCUGGUCAUUUUCUAAAUGAUGCCUUUUCUAAACGGCAUGAUGCCUGCCUUUCUUUCUUUCUUUCUUUCUUUCUUUCUUUCUUUCUUUCUUUCAUAAACACUGGAUAGAUCCCAGAUUCUUAAUAUGGUUAUGAGAGAGGGCAAUAUAAAUGAUGUACAUUUUUGUUCAAUACAUAUUUUUUAAUGUUUAUUUUUGAGAGAGACAGUGUGUGUGCAGGGGAGAAAGAGGGGCAAAGAGAGAUGGAGAGAGAACCCCAAGUGGGGGCUUGAUCCCAUAACUCUGGGAUCAUGACCUGAGAUGAAAUGAAGAGUCAGACGCUUAACUAAGCUACCCAGGUGCUCCUGUUCAACAUAUACAUAUUUAUUGAGAGUCUUCUGUGUCCACCAAAGACACAAGGAUGAGAAAGAAAACCAUAUUCCCAUUCUCAAGUUGUUCACAUUGUGGUGACAAAAUGAAUUGAAUUGAACUGGUGUUCUGAUAAGUGUCAAGAGUAUUUUGAGAGCAUAUGAUACAAAUGUGAAGGGCCUUUUCCCCCUUAGUUUUGAAAUUUUCUAUAACGAACAUAGACUAGCUUUGUAAACUUUUUUUUUUUUUUUGAGAGAGAGAGAGAGAGAGAGAGAGAAUGAAUCUCAAGCAGGCUCCACGCUCAACGCCGAGCCCAACACAGAGCCCCAUCCCAUGACCCUGGGAUCAUGACCUGAGCCGAAAUCAAGAGUAGGACGCUCACAUGAACCGAGCCACCCGGGGAACUCCCCUUUUUCCUUUUUUUUUUUUUAUGUUUAAAAAAGAUUGGCAUUGAAAUAAUUGGGAGAUAGAAGGUGGUAAGUGGAGUAGGUCCUCGAGUGAAGGGAACCGUUCUGAUGCCAAUUGUUUUUGAAACCAGGAGACUCCGUCACGUUUAGAGGCUGAGGGGAAGAGCUGCGUUCCUGUGUGUUUGUGUGUCAGUGUUCAGUGGGGCAGGUGGAGGAGGGAGUGAGGAGGAGCCCAGAUAAGAUUUGCUUUCACCAGGAGGCAGGACACUUCAGUCUCUGCUGACAGUUGUCAACGGAGAUAAAGCUGUCAGUUUGGGUAGGGCAGGAAGUUGUGGCAGUCCUACCCCUUGGCCUUCCUUUUCCCAAAGUGGAAGGUAAGGUCAUACCACUUUGUGCCUCUGUGCCUGGUAAGUUUCUACUCCUUCCUUUAAAAAUCAGCUGUAGGGGCACCUGAGUGGCUCAGUUGUUUAAGCCUCAGACUCUUCAUUUGGGCUCAGGUCGUGAUCUCACGGUUGGUGGGUUCCAGCUUUGCUUUGAGCUUUGCCCUAACAGCACAGAGCCUGCUUGGGGAUUCUCUGUCUCCCUUUCUCUCUGCCCUCCCCUACUCAAGCAUGUGCCCGUGUGGUCUUUCUCUCAAAUCAAUAAAAACUUAGGAAAAAAAGCAAAAAUAAAAACGAGGUGUAGAUCUCUGCCUUUGCAACCCCUUUCCUGACCCCUUCCUUCUAGAAUCACCUUGGUGGGGUGGGGGGAUGGGGGAAGGAAGGGGGCUAGUUAAGCUUUCAGAGUCCCUGAACACUCUAAGACUUAAAGUUAGAAUUUCUGAGCGGUGGCACGCAGGAUCUACAUUUGAAAGAACAGCCAUGGGGAAUUCAGGUGGCGCAAUAAAGUUGGAGAACCACCCCACUAAGUGUUCCCAAUUCAUUUUACAACCCUCCAUUAUUGAAAUUAAACUAUUCCCUCCCCCACCGUGUUCCUCUUGGGAGGGAGUGUCUCUUCAUUUCUGGGCUUUCAAGUACAGCCCUGCACUAUGUAGGCUGGGAGAGUGGCCUUGGGUUCUUAUUUGUGAAAUGAAUGAAAUGUCCAGAGCUGGAGCCCUGGUGUUUCGACCCCCCUGACCCACAACUUCCCUACCCCAUCAUAGGUUAUCUCCAUAGGUCUCUGAAUUCUUAAUGAAAGCAUUUCCUGCUUGGCUAUGCCUGAACAUCAUAUGCAAACUUAACCUCACACACCCACAUGGAGAGAUCCUGGGAAGAAUGGGGCUUAUGGAGGAUUGAUUGCUCUAAGGAAAGUCAAAGUGUAGGCCGCAGCAGGGGUGCCAGAGCACCUGGCUCCAGGGGUCCCAAGCUGGGUUUGGCCACUCCCCGCUGAUAAAAUCCAAAGGCAGAGAGAUGAGUGGUGGAGAAACAAGAAAGGGAUUUUAUUUCAGUGAGGCCAACACCAGGAAGACGGUGGACUAGCUUCUCAAAGACUGUUUCCAAAGUGCUGAAAAUACUUCCAGGUUAUGUAAGGAGAAUGUGGGACAAAGGUUGGUCAAUACAGGCAGGUGGGCAGUGAAGGUCAAGUCGUCAUUGUCUUGGGGUCAAUCCCAGGCGGGUGUUGCUGGCUCAGGGCCGUCUUGAUUGCUUGAGGGGGUAGUUUUGUUCCCAUCAGGGGAUGCUUUGCCCUCAGGGUCUUUUGCCUAAGUUAAGAGACAAGCUGGAAAGAACAACUUAAUCAGUUAGAAAGUUUGAGGUCAAAACGAGGUUAAGUCCUCCUUCAAACUUGAGGUGCUCUGAAGUCAAGGGAGUAGAAGGGCACCUGGCUGGCUCAGUCGGUAGAUUGUGCAACUCUUGAUCUCAGGGUUGUGAGUUCAAGCCCCACAUUCGGUGUAGAGAUUACUCAAAAGUAAAAUCUUAACAACAACAACAACAUGAAGUUAAGUGAGUGGAAUCAACACGAAUUCAGAUGCACAAGACCUCUACAGCUGGUGUCUGUUCUGAGUGUCACCCAAGUCUCCCCCCCCAAACCUAUCAAGGAGUUAAAACAUACUCUGGAAAAGAACCCUGGACUGUAACAGUUAAGGUGGAUGCUCGGGAGAUAAUGAGUCCUAACAGAAGGCUUGUGUGUGGCUUGUCUGGAGAAAUUAUAGGGUAUCUCCCACACUACCCAAGGAUAAAGAUGCUCUGAUACUAUUGGCUAGUGCUGUUCGUUUAGAGAGAACUAGUCCAAAAGAAUGGCAGUUCAUCUUAGAAGAAAUCAUUAUAUCUCCUAAGAACAGCAAAUCCCCUUUCUUUAAUCAGAGACUUUACUGACCACCUCCCAUGGGUCACGGGCCUUUACUAGCUGCUGGAGAUGUGACCGUAGGCUAACAGGCACAGUACUUGCUCUUAAGGAGUCAGUAUUGUUGCCACCCAGUCACUCAAAUCCCAGUCUGUCAUUUGGUAUGCUUUGUGGAUUUGCCUGGCAAGGCAUAGGACUCUGAGCAAGUGACCAGAGCCAAUUAUUUGGCCAGCAAGCCCUCCUGUUCGCACACUGUUAACAUUCCAGUUUUGAAUCACCUGUGACUUGGGUGAAAGUGAAACAUUUCCCAGAGUGCGGUGUCCUCUGGAUAAAUGCCUGUAAACCUGAGUCCGCUGGUGAGCUUGAUAUAACAGCCCUGCCCUGGGAAGGCCAGCAGCGGGCAGUGGCCAGCCUCCAGCGGCUCUCCAUUGCUGCACUGCCUUGGCUCCUCCCACCAGCCCCACGUCUGGAUCCCUUGCUUCCUGAAACAGGGCCUUCUAUUACUCUAAUUUUGCAUUUCUUGCAGGUGUCCUUGCCUGCCCUGAUGGCCCACUGAGAGGUUGCUGAGGGGAUUCUUGGAGCAUCGAAUUCCAAAGAGCUUGAGUCAGAAGAAGCUUUGCAGCCCAGGGCUGACUUUGAAGGAAGAGGGAGCAGGGGCGGCUGAUGGUAAGUGGAGGAGAGUGGACAUAAUGGGAACAGACGUGGGAUCGGCUACACUUGUGACUUUGAGGACGGUCCCCAGCUUCUUAGCUCCCCUGAGAGAAACCAUGAAAGCUGAAACCAGGAUCCCAGGAUCCUUAGCUAGUAAUUCCUAAAAGCAGCAUUUAAGAGAUCUGGCUCUGGAAAACAUUCACUCAAGGGUAGGUCCACAUUUGGGUGAAUGAGACCUACAUAUUUCUGAGGGGCAACACUUAAGCAAGAAAUAUAAAAUUAGACAGGGUAGGAGAAUACCCUGUUUCAGGAAGCAAGGGAUCCAGAAGCUUUAGCCUCAGUAAUUUCACAGUAACCCAUCUUUGCAUUCAUGCUAGAGGGUAAAAGUAUUGGGUGUCUCUGAUCCCAGAGGAUGCUUAAAGGAAAGAAGGAGGCAGGGAUGAGAGCAACUUUAAAGUUUUACCUCCUUGUUAUUAAUCACAUUUUCUCUUCAUCCCCCACACCCAGUUACAGGUCUAAAUGUUGGGCGAAGCUAUUCAUGGACAGGUAUCAUUUAAAAGAUUUUUUAAUUUGUUUUUAAUGUUUACUUUUGAGAGAGAGAGAGAAUGCACAAUCAGGGGAGGGGCAGUGAGAGAGGGAAAUAGGAUAUGAAGCAGGCCCUGCGCUGACAGCAGAGAGUCUGAUGUGGGGCUUGAACCCAUGAACUGUGAGAUCAUGACAAGAGCUGAAGUCGCAUGCUUAACCGACUGAGCCACUCAGGUUCCCCUGUCAUUCAUCUUGAAUCCCCAGUACUUCACACAUAGCACAAGCAAAGUAUUUGUUGAAGGAAUGAGUGGGUGAAUGAAUGAAAGAAUGAGUGAAUGAAUGAGUGAAUUCUCCCAGGUCCUAAGAAUUGAGAGUCCUGUAUAUUCCUCUCUUUCUUUCUUCCUUCUUUUUAUUUAUUUAUUUAUUUAUUUAUUUAUUUAUUUAUUUAGAGAGCGCGCGAGCAUGUGCACACCUGAGCCG